UGGAAUAAACCAGGGAAACUUGGGUAAUACCGGAUAACGCCUUUCGGGGGAAAGAUUCAUUGCCGAAAGAUCGGCCCGCGUCGGAUUAGCUAGUUGGUGGGGUAAUGGCUCACCAAGGCGACGAUCCGUAGCUGGUCUGAGAGGAUGACCAGCCACACUGGGACUGAGACACGGCCCAGACUCCUACGGGAGGCAGCAGUGGGGAAUAUUGGACAAUGGGCGAAAGCCUGAUCCAGCCAUGCCGCGUGGGUGAAGAAGGCCCUAGGGUUGUAAAGCUCUUUUGUGCGGGAAGAUAAUGACGGUACCGCAAG
This 311-nucleotide ribosomal RNA is filed under the name uncultured soil bacterium. Its description in RNAcentral is "bacterial SSU rRNA". It matches the Rfam family "Bacterial small subunit ribosomal RNA", at positions 139 to 484 of the family's 1533-position model. The record is from RNAcentral.